GACGAACGCUGGCGGCGUGCUUAACACAUGCAAGUCGAACGCUGAAGCUCAGCUUUUGUUGGGUGGAUGAGUGGCGAACGGGUGAGUAACACGUGAGUAACCUGCCUCCUUCUUUGGGAUAACGCCCGGAAACGGGUGCUAAUACUGGAUAUUCACUGGUCUUCGCAUGGGGGUUGGUGGAAAGGGUUUUUCUGGUGGGGGAUGGGCUCGCGGCCUAUCAGCUUGUUGGUGGGGUGAUGGCCUACCAAGGCUUUGACGGGUAGCCGGCCUGAGAGGGUGACCGGUCACAUUGGGACUGAGAUACGGCCCAGACUCCUACGGGAGGCAGCAGUGGGGAAUAUUGCACAAUGGGCGAAAGCGUGAUGCAGCGACGCCGCGGGAGGGAUGGAGGCCUUCGGGUUGUGAACCUCUUUCGCUCAUGGUCAAGCCGCAACAAUGGUUGUGGUGAGGGUAGUGGGUAAAGAAGCGCCGGCUAACUACGUG
This 483-nucleotide ribosomal RNA is filed under the name uncultured bacterium. RNAcentral describes it as "partial 16S ribosomal RNA". It matches the Rfam family "Bacterial small subunit ribosomal RNA", at positions 28 to 507 of the family's 1533-position model. The record is from RNAcentral.